RNAcentral lists this ribosomal RNA (429 nucleotides) under Chloroflexota bacterium. Its description in RNAcentral is "Chloroflexi bacterium partial 16S ribosomal RNA". It matches the Rfam family "Bacterial small subunit ribosomal RNA", at positions 355 to 776 of the family's 1533-position model. The record is from RNAcentral. Lineage: Bacteria; Bacillati; Chloroflexota.
UGGGGAAUAUUGCACAAUGGGCGCAAGCCUGAUGCAGCCAUGCCGCGUGUAUGAAGAAGGCCUUCGGGUUGUAAAGUACUUUCAGUCGGGAGGAAGGUGUCAAGGUUAAUAACCUUGGCAAUUGACGUUACCGACAGAAGAAGCACCGGCUAACUCCGUGCCAGCAGCCGCGGUAAUACGGAGGGUGCAAGCGUUAAUCGGAAUUACUGAGCGUAAAGCGCACGCAGGCGGUUGAUUGAGUCAGAUGUGAAAUCCCCGGGCUUAACCCGGGAAUUGCAUCUGAUACUGGUCAGCUAGAGUCUUGUAGAGGUGGGUAGAAUUCCAUGUGUAGCGGUGAAAUGCGUAGAGAUGUGGAGGAAUACCGGUGGCGAAGGCGGCCCCCUGGACAAAGACUGACGCUCAGGUGCGAAAGCGUGGGGAGCAAACAGG